RNAcentral lists this ribosomal RNA (253 nucleotides) under uncultured bacterium. RNAcentral describes it as "partial 16S ribosomal RNA". It matches the Rfam family "Bacterial small subunit ribosomal RNA", at positions 524 to 776 of the family's 1533-position model. The record is from RNAcentral.
GACAGAGGAUGCAAGCGUUAUCCGGAAUGAUUGGGCGUAAAGCGUCUGUAGGUGGCUUUUUAAGUCUGCCGUCAAAUCCCAGGGCUUAACCCUGGACAGGCGGUGGAAACUACCAAGCUGGAGUACGGUAGGGGCAGAGGGAAUUUCCGGUGGAGCGGUGAAAUGCGUAGAGAUCAGGAAGAACACCGGUGGCGAAAGCGCUCUGCUAGGCCGCAACUGACACUGAGGGACGAAAGCUAGGGGAGCGAAUGGG